RNAcentral lists this ribosomal RNA (1459 nucleotides) under metagenome. RNAcentral describes it as "bacterial LSU rRNA". It matches the Rfam family "Bacterial large subunit ribosomal RNA", at positions 1446 to 2925 of the family's 2925-position model. The record is from RNAcentral.
CCAUAUUAAACUGAUGGAGUGACGGAGAAGGCUAAGUUGAGCGUGUGAUUGGAUUCACGUGUAAGCAGUGAGGUGGUCAUGUAGGCAAAUCCGCAUGGCAUAACAUUGAGCUGUGAUGCCGAAGCCGAAUGGCGAAGUCAACUGACGUCACGCUUCCAAGAAAAGCUUCUAGGGUUAAUUUAAUAAGUGCCCGUACCGAUAACCGACACAGGUAGGCGAGGAGAGAAUCCUAAGAUGAGCGAGAGAACUCUUGUUAAGGAACUCGGCAAAAUGACCCCGUAACUUCGGGAGAAGGGGUGCUUGUGAAAGCAAGCCGCAGUGAAUAGGCCCAGGCGACUGUUUAUCAAAAACACAGGUCUCUGCUAAACCGCAAGGUGAUGUAUAGGGGCUGACGCCUGCCCGGUGCUGGAAGGUUAAGAGGAGAGGUUAGCGCAAGCGAAGCUUUGAAUUGAAGCCCCAGUAAACGGCGGCCGUAACAAUAACGGUCCUAAGGUAGCGAAAUUCCUUGUCGGGUAAGUUCCGACCCGCACGAAAGGCGUAACGAUCUGGGCGCUGUCUCAACAAGAGACUCGGUGAAAUCAUAGUACCUGUGAAGAUGCAGGUUACCCGCGACAGGACGGAAAGACCCCGUGGAGCUUUACUGUAGCUUGAUAUUGAGCACUGGUGGCACAUGUACAGGAUAGGUAGGAGACGAAGAAACCAGGACGCCAGUCUUGGUGGAGUCGCUGUUGGGAUACUACCCUUGUGUCACUGGGGUUCUAACCCGUGGCCCUUAUCGGGUCAGGGAACAGUGUCAGGUGGGCAGUUUGACUGGGGCGGUCGCCUCCCAAAGAGUAACGGAGGCGCCCAAAGGUUCCCUCAGAAUGGUUGGAAAUCAUUCGAAGAGUGUAAAGGCAGAAGGGAGCUUGACUGCGAGACCUACAAGUCGAGCAGGGACGAAAGUCGGGCUUAGUGAUCCGGCGGUACCGAAUGGAAGGGCCGUCGCUCAACGGAUAAAAGCUACCCGGGGGAUAACAGGCUGAUCUCCCCCAAGAGUUCACAUCGACGGGGAGGUUUGGCACCUCGAUGUCGGCUCAUCGCAUCCUGGGGCUGUAGUCGGUCCCAAGGGUUGGGCUGUUCGCCCAUUAAAGCGGUACGCGAGCUGGGUUCAGAACGUCGUGAGACAGUUCGGUCCCUAUCCGUCGUGGGCGUAGGAAAUUUGAGAGGAGCUGUCCUUAGUACGAGAGGACCGGGAUGGACACACCGCUGGUGUACCAGUUGUUCUGCCAGGAGCAUAGCUGGGUAGCUACGUGUGGACGGGAUAAACGCUGAAAGCAUCUAAGCGUGAAGCCCCCCUCAAGAUGAGAUUUCCCAUUCGAAAGAAGUAAGAUCCCUUGAAGACGACGAGGUUGAUAGGUCAGGAGUGGAAGUGUGGUGACACAUGGAGCGGACUGAUACUAAUCGAUCGAGGACUUAACCU